RNAcentral lists this small nuclear RNA (167 nucleotides) under Aotus nancymaae (Ma's night monkey). RNAcentral's name for it is "U1 spliceosomal RNA (ENSANAG00000019637.1)". It matches the Rfam family "U1 spliceosomal RNA". Rfam says of the family: U1 is a small nuclear RNA (snRNA) component of the spliceosome (involved in pre-mRNA splicing). The record is from Rfam by way of RNAcentral. Lineage: Eukaryota; Metazoa; Chordata; Mammalia; Primates; Aotidae.
AUACUUACCUGGCAGGGGAGAUACCAUGAUCACGAAGGCCCUAGCCUUCCCAAGGCGAGUCUUAUCCAUUGCACUCCAGAUGUGCUGACCCCUGCGAUUUCCCCAAAUGUGGGAAACUCGACUGCAUAACUUGUGGUAGUGGGGGACUGCAUUCGCGCUUUCCCCUG